UUAAAAUGAAAAUGAGAAAGUGCAGG
Molecule: non-coding RNA, 26 nt
Filed under: Homo sapiens (human)
Lineage: Eukaryota; Metazoa; Chordata; Mammalia; Primates; Hominidae
Source: RNAcentral